This 253-nucleotide ribosomal RNA is filed under the name uncultured bacterium. RNAcentral describes it as "partial 16S ribosomal RNA". It matches the Rfam family "Bacterial small subunit ribosomal RNA", at positions 524 to 776 of the family's 1533-position model. The record is from RNAcentral.
UACGUAGGGGGCAAGCGUUGUCCGGAUUUAUUGGGCGUAAAGAGCGUGUAGGCGGCUAGAUAGGUCCGCCGUGAAAACUCGAGGCUUAACCUCGAGACGUCGAUGGAAACCGUAUGGCUAGAGUCCGGAAGAGGAGAGUGGAAUUCCUGGUGUAGCGGUGAAAUGCGCAGAUAUCAGGAAGAACACCCGUGGCGAAGGCGGCUCUCUGGGACGGUACUGACGCUGAGACGCGAAAGCGUGGGGAGCGAACAGG